RNAcentral lists this transfer RNA (75 nucleotides) under Vibrio sp. JCM 18905. RNAcentral describes it as "tRNA-Val". The record is from RNAcentral. Lineage: Bacteria; Pseudomonadati; Pseudomonadota; Gammaproteobacteria; Vibrionales; Vibrionaceae.
GGGUCCGUAGCUCAGUUGGUUAGAGUACUACCUUGACAUGGUAGGGGGUCGGCGAUUCGAGUUCGCCCGGACCCA